CUUUACUAUAGCCUGGCAUUGUGUUCGGGCUUCGCUUGCGCAGGAUAGGUGGGAGACGUUGAAGCAGUCCUUGUGGGGAUUGUGGAGUCAUCAGUGAGAUACCACUCUGGCGAGGCUAGAAUUCUAACGGUUGCCCGUUACCCGGGAACCGGACAGUUUCAGGUGGGUAGUUUGACUGGGGCGGUCGCCUCCUAAAUUGUAACGGAGGCGCGCAAAGGUUCUCUUAGAUUGGUUGGAAAUCAAUCGUUAAGUGUAAAGGCAUAAGAGAGCUUGACUGCAACACCAACAAGUGGAGCAGGUACGAAAGUAGGCCUUAGUGAUCCGACGGUACUGAAUGGAAGGGCCGUCGCUCAACGGAUAAAAGUUA
RNAcentral lists this ribosomal RNA (367 nucleotides) under uncultured organism. RNAcentral's name for it is "bacterial LSU rRNA". It matches the Rfam family "Bacterial large subunit ribosomal RNA", at positions 2099 to 2465 of the family's 2925-position model. The record is from RNAcentral.